This 88-nucleotide ribosomal RNA is filed under the name Pseudomonas graminis. The record is from RNAcentral. Lineage: Bacteria; Pseudomonadati; Pseudomonadota; Gammaproteobacteria; Pseudomonadales; Pseudomonadaceae.
CUUGACGACCAUAGAGCGUUGGAACCACCUGAUCCCAUCCCGAACUCAGCAGUGAAACGAUGCAUCGCCGAUGGUAGUGUGGGGUUUC